This 1804-nucleotide unclassified non-coding RNA is filed under the name Chelonus insularis. RNAcentral's name for it is "nucleoporin p58/p45, transcript variant X1". Lineage: Eukaryota; Metazoa; Arthropoda; Insecta; Hymenoptera; Braconidae. The record is from RNAcentral.
UAGCGGCCAAGCCGGGAACCUAGAAACUGAAUAAUUAAAUCGCAGUUUAACCCAAGUCAAGGAUAUAUUCAGUCUUAUAUUUACUAUUUUAUGUAUUGUUUACGUUUUUUUGUAAUAUUCCAACAAACGUUUGAGCACGUUAUGAGUACUUAGUUGUUUUAUCAUUAUAUUGAAUUCAUUAUAAUUGUCCAACAUCAUCUAUCAAUAAAAAUGUCAAACUUUAAUUUUGGUACACCUAUAACAACAGCAAAUUUGGGUUUUGGCGGAUUUUCUACGCAAAAACCGGCUACUGGAUUUGGGUUAGGAAAUUCAGCAUUCGGUACAUCUACUCCAGCAGUUACCGGGAACCUCACAUUUCCAACGACUACUACUUCUGCAGUAAAUGCACUGACAUCGAAUUUUACUUUUGGCAAUACAACUGUUAGUUCCACCUCAAAUCCAAGUGGAAGUUUUUUUUCAACUCCUGCUACUACUACUACCACAGCAGCACCAAAUUUGUUUAAUACUUCAACUACUUCAGCGGCACCAUUAUCUAAUCUAAGUUUCGGAAACUUACCGACUUCUACGAAUACAAAUUUUGGAAUUACAACUAGUACAGCGUCAACUGGUGGUUUGAAUUUUGGUGCUCCUACAACUACAGCAGCUACUACUAUCGCUACGACUACUACUUCAGCUACAUCUACUAAUAUUUCUUUAAUUGGUAAUACUCAAACUGGAGGGUUAUUUGGUGCAAAACCAUUAGGAGCAACAACUGUUACUGCUACUACAACAACGAGUGUUAAUAAAGGACUAGGAGGCUUAGAUAUUUCAACUAGCAAUAAAGGGCUAUCUCAUAGUAGUAAUAGUCCAACAGUAGCUAAAGAGAACCUCAUCCCGAAUGAACUUACUCAGACGAUUGAUAGUUUCAAAGAAUUUGUGAGAACCCAAAAAACUUUAAGUUCAGAUAUAGCAAGAGGUUCAGCAAGACCACUUAAUCGUUGUUCAGAAGAUACAACAUUAUUGAUGGAAAUGUUAACAACCUUAGCAGGAUCUGUUCAACGAGAUCGUGCUCUUGCUGAUAAACUUAAAUUUGACACAGCGAAAGCUCUUCAAAAUUCUGAAAUAGCACAAAGGACCCACGAUACUCCUGCUGGACUUCAGUAUGAAAACAAUGCUCCAUUGUUAUUUUUUAUGGAACUAGUAGAGAAUUUUGAACAAGAUUUAACGUUAUUCAGAUCACAAAUUGAAACUACAGAGAAACAUAUUCAAACUAUGAUGACACCAAGAGCAUUAACACCGCAAGAACUAACAUUGGCAAUGAGUAAAAUCCACGAAUCAUUAAUUGCGGUAGCUGGUAAAUUACAGGGAGUACAUGCUAAAGUACAACAACAAAAAGAACAGUAUCUAAAUUUAAGGAAAUAUAUUUUGAAGGAUAGUACAAACAUAUUCGAAGAAAAUAAAUCUAAUAGUAAAAACAGUCAAAGUAAUAUUGGAAAAAUUACUACAGGUCCUACUCCUUUUGGUCCAGGAAAUAAAAAUUUUUUAUCUUCAACAACAAUUAAUUCAACCCGACAACCAACUUACGGUUCUUCCAAUCCAAUUGGUCUUGCGUGGAUGUAGCGUGAAGUAAUACCGUAUAUUAUUAGCUUCGCCAAGCCGCAAGAAAUUUCUUCUAAAUCACGAAAUCUGGAGAAAUAUUACCCCAUCACAAUCAACAAUGAAUCAUUCAAUAAAUACUACAAUAAAACCACCAACUGCGAGUUUAAAUUUCAAUCCACCACUAAAUUUAACUGCUCCACUGUCAACAAAUGAAACAACGUCAAGU